RNAcentral lists this small RNA (49 nucleotides) under Chlamydomonas leiostraca. Its description in RNAcentral is "partial transfer-messenger RNA". The record is from RNAcentral. Lineage: Eukaryota; Viridiplantae; Chlorophyta; Chlorophyceae; Chlamydomonadales; Chlamydomonadaceae.
GAAGAAGAAGGUCAAAAAGGUCAAGGACCCGGGUUCGAAUCCCCCCAGC